GACGAACGCUGGCGGCGUGCUUAACACAUGCAAGUCGAACGGAAAGGCCCUGCUUUUGUGGGGUGCUCGAGUGGCGAACGGGUGAGUAACACGUGAGUAACCUGCCCUUGACUUUGGGAUAACUUCAGGAAACUGGGGCUAAUACCGGAUAGGAGCUCCUGCUGCAUGGUGGGGGUUGGAAAGUUUCGGCGGUUGGGGAUGGACUCGCGGCUUAUCAGCUUGUUGGUGGGGUAGUGGCUUACCAAGGCUUUGACGGGUAGCCGGCCUGAGAGGGUGACCGGCCACAUUGGGACUGAGAUAGGGCCCAGACUCCUACGGGAGGCAGCAGUGGGGAAUAUUGCACAAUGGGGGGAAGCCUGAUGCAGCAACGCCGCGUGCGGGAUGACGGCCUUCGGGUUGUAAACCGCUUUCGCCGGUGACGAAGCGUGAGUGACGGUAAUGGGUAAAGAAGCACCGGCUAACUACGUG
RNAcentral lists this ribosomal RNA (468 nucleotides) under uncultured bacterium. RNAcentral describes it as "partial 16S ribosomal RNA". It matches the Rfam family "Bacterial small subunit ribosomal RNA", at positions 28 to 507 of the family's 1533-position model. The record is from RNAcentral.